UACGAAGGGGGCUAGCGUUGCUCGGAAUCACUGGGCGUAAAGGGCGCGUAGGCGGGAUGGCAAGUCAGUCGUGAAAUCUCUCGGCUCAACCGAGAAACGUCGGCUGAUACUGCCGUUCUUGAGGGAUGCAGAGGAGACUGGAAUUCCCGGUGUAGCGGUGAAAUGUGUAGAGAUCGGGAGGAACACCGGUGGCGAAGGCGGGUCUCUGGGCAUUUCCUGACGCUGAGGCGCGAAAGCUAGGGGAGCAAACAGG
Molecule: ribosomal RNA, 253 nt
Filed under: uncultured bacterium
Lineage: Bacteria
Description: partial 16S ribosomal RNA
Rfam family: Bacterial small subunit ribosomal RNA
Source: RNAcentral